Molecule: long non-coding RNA, 1814 nt
Filed under: Homo sapiens (human)
Lineage: Eukaryota; Metazoa; Chordata; Mammalia; Primates; Hominidae
Description: HSALNT0076686
Source: RNAcentral
AGAUAAAUGAUAGUAGGAUUUGGAGUUUGAUGGAUUACACUGCUGCUGUUUCAACCUUAAAGAGGUGUUUCUGGGUGUUGCCAGAAGAGAUUAACAUUUGAGUCAGUGGACUGGGAGAGGAAGAUCUACCCUCAGGAAGACCCACCCACCAUGUAGGUGGGCACCAUCCAAUCAGCUGCCAGUGUGGCUAGAAAAAGCAGGCAGAAGAAGGUGGAAGAAGCUGACUUGCUGAGGCUUCUGGCCUUCAUCUUUCUCCCAUGCUGAAUAUUUCCUGCCCUUGAACAUCAGACUCCAAGUUCUAUGGUUUUUGAUCUCUUAGACUUACACCAGCGGUUUGCCAGGGACUCUCAGGCCUUCAGCCACAGAGCAAAGUCUGCACUGUCAGCUUCCCUACUUUUGAAGUUUUGGGACGUGGAAUGAACUACUACGGGCUUCCUUGUCCUCAACUUACAGACGGCCUGUCAUGGGAUUUCACUGUAUGAUCGUGUGAGUCAAUUCUCCUGAAUAAACUCCCUUUCAUAUAUACAUGUAUCACAUUAAUUCUGUCCCUCUAGAGAACCCUAAUACAUGGACAGACAGGGGAAAGACAAAUGCAGAUGCACCCAGAGAGCUAGAGCUUCUAGUUAAUCUUCCAAAUGACAGACUCCACCAUCUAAUAGCAACUCAAGCCUACCAUCUAAUAUUUGACUAGUUUCCUCAGAGGGGGCUGCCUUAUCAGAUCUCACUAUAAAAACACAUUUAGCUGAUGUGCCAGGCUCCCAGAUGUUUAUAACUUCUGAGAUCUUUCUGUGAGCUCUGAAACACCCACUCACAUCAUUGCUUGAAGCUAUUAGGGUUAAUGACCUUUCUCUAAUCUGGCUCUCCACUUUGAAGCUUUUCCUAACUUUGCCACAUUUGUGUAAGCUUUUAUUAAUACGAUAAACCCUUUUGUUCCUGUACUCUUAGUGGCUUUAUUUUGAUUACUGAAUUCCGACUAAUAAACCAUUUUUCAUGGCCGAAUAUGGGUCAUCUUCCAUUGGACUUUUCCAUAGUGUUUGAUCUUCAUUGCUAUACAUAAAUAUAACCUCAUGAAAACAAAUUAUAAUAUACAUAUUUAUAUGUGUGUCUGUAUGUCUGGGGGAUGUGCAUGUAUGCCUGUGAGGGUUUUGUGUGUGUGGAUGUAUUUUGAAACUUUAAAAAAAUCUUUUAAAAAAGCCUAAAAUUAUCACAAUAUUUUAAAGUAAAAUUCUUUUCCAAUCUUCACACUAUUAGAAGAGCCUUCACAAUUGUUUUAUGACCCUAAAAUGGUUGCAAAAAGUAUUUUAUGUAUUUAAUGAAGUAAAGAUGCAUAAUUAUUGGAUCCAGUCAAAUUGUUGUCAGAGCAUGUGGUUCAAAUUUGCUGAACUCUUAUGGUAAAUAAAUAUGCCUUACUGAAUUAAAACACACAAGGAUGGAUCAUUUAAGUGCAGAACACACUUGCUAUUUAAAUAAACCUUUAUACCUUUAAAGUCAUUUCUACCAGAUCAAUGACAUAGUUUUCAGAUUUCACUGGAAAAAGUAGAGUAAAUGAAAGAUUUUUCUCCACUGUAAAAACAUAUGCUACUAAUGGUCACAGGAGUGGGAUUGUGGAUCUGGUCUUUUUUUUCACUCUAUUGUUCUACCUGAGAACAUGUAUAGUACAAUGGAAUGUGCCAUGUUGGAAAUACAGCAAUGUGUAGUCAUAUUAUUCUAUUUUACUUGUUGCUUCAAUUUUUAUGAUUUUCUCUUCCUUUAGUUUUCGGAGAGCAAAUUAAUAGAAUAUUGACUUUUCUGUGACUAGUCUACUAAGAAGGCAU